Molecule: ribosomal RNA, 404 nt
Filed under: Escherichia coli
Lineage: Bacteria; Pseudomonadati; Pseudomonadota; Gammaproteobacteria; Enterobacterales; Enterobacteriaceae
Description: bacterial SSU rRNA
Rfam family: Bacterial small subunit ribosomal RNA
Source: RNAcentral
GCACGCAGGCGGUUUGUUAAGUCAGAUGUGAAAUCCCCGGGCUCAACCUGGGAACUGCAUCUGAUACUGGCAAGCUUGAGUCUCGUAGAGGGGGGUAGAAUUCCAGGUGUAGCGGUGAAAUGCGUAGAGAUCUGGAGGAAUACCGGUGGCGAAGGCGGCCCCCUGGACGAAGACUGACGCUCAGGUGCGAAAGCGUGGGGAGCAAACAGGAUUAGAUACCCUGGUAGUCCACGCCGUAAACGAUGUCGACUUGGAGGUUGUGCCCUUGAGGCGUGGCUUCCGGAGCUAACGCGUUAAGUCGACCGCCUGGGGAGUACGGCCGCAAGGUUAAAACUCAAAUGAAUUGACGGGGGCCCGCACAAGCGGUGGAGCAUGUGGUUUAAUUCGAUGCAACGCGAAGAACC